UGGGGGAUAUUGCACAAUGGGCGAAAGCCUGAUGCAGCGACGCCGCGUGGGGGAUGAAGGCUUUCGGGUUGUAAACCUCUUUCGCUAUCGAACAAGGCCCGCUUAGGGUGGGUUGAGGGUAGGUGGAGAAGAAGCGCCGGCUAACUACGUGCCAGCAGCCGCGGUAAUACGUAGGGCGCGAGCGUUGUCCGGCAUUAUUGGGCGUAAAGGGCUUGUAGGCGGCUUGUUGCGCCUGCUGUGAAAACGCGGGGCGUAACUUCGCGCGUGCAGUGGGUACGGGCAGGCUUGAGUGUGGUAGGGGUGACUGGAAUUCCAGGUGUAGCGGUGGAAUGCGCAGAUAUCUGGAGGAACACCGAUGGCGAAGGCAGGUCACUGGGCCAUUACUGACGCUGAGGAGCGAAAGCAUGGGUAGCGAACAGG
This 420-nucleotide ribosomal RNA is filed under the name bacterium. Its description in RNAcentral is "partial 16S ribosomal RNA". It matches the Rfam family "Bacterial small subunit ribosomal RNA", at positions 355 to 776 of the family's 1533-position model. The record is from RNAcentral.